This 25-nucleotide non-coding RNA is filed under the name Arabidopsis thaliana (thale cress). Lineage: Eukaryota; Viridiplantae; Streptophyta; Magnoliopsida; Brassicales; Brassicaceae. The record is from RNAcentral.
ACAAUCUAAAUCCCUUAACGAGGAU